GGUGGUUGGGGAGAAGAGGAGGAGGAGGAACUCUGGUGGCUGGGAAGAGGAGGAGGAGGAACUCUGGUGGUUGGGGAGAAGAAGAAAUAGAAAGAGUUUGGGGAAUGGAGGAAAGGAGAGAAAGAGGCAGAGGAGAUACUGGGACACGGCAUGCAGAAGGACACAAAGAAUCACAUCUGUCUCCACACUGUCCUCCUUCCCUCUGUGGGAGACCGAGGAGAGAGGGGGGGACAGGAAUGUGGUAAACAACUCUACUUUGUUGAUGUUUACCGGAUGUUUCUGUCACGAGUGUCAGACUGACAAGAACCACACCAAGGAGUCUGAGACGAAAGACCUGGUGGCCUUCACCAACCGACCUGAGACAGCCUGUUAGAGGUCUGUGCUGUAUCAGAAGUCUGGGCCCAUAUUCAUAAAGACUCUCAGUAGGAGUGGUCAUCUGGGAUCAGGUCCUAAAGAGUCCCAGUAGGAGUGGUGAUCUAGGAUCAGGUCCUAAAGAGUCUCAGUAGGAGUGGUCAUCUGGGAUCAGGUCCUAAAGAGUCUCAGUAGGAGUGGUCAUCUGGGAUCAGGUCCUAAAGAGUCUCAGUAGGAGUGGUGAUCUAGGAUCAGGUCAUAGUCUCAGUAGGAGUGGUGAUCUAGGAUCAGGUCAUAUAGAGUCUGAGAGUGUUGAUCUGGGAUCAGGUCCUAAAGAGUCCCAGUAGGAGUGUUGAUCUAGGAUCAGGUCAUAAAGAGAUUCAGUAGGAGUAUUGAUCUAGGAUCAGGUCAUAAAGAGUGAGAGUAGGAGUGGUGAUCAUAAUGAAUAACAUUACAUGGACCUGGGGGACCUGAUCCUAGAUCAUAAUGACCUGGGAGACCUGAUCCUAGAUCAUAAUGACCUGGGGGACCUGAUCCUAGAUCAGCUCUCCUACUGUGAAUACCAGAACCAGGUCUUACCUGUCAGAGGUCAGAGGUCUUCAUCCUCUCGGAUGUUGUGGUUUCUUCCUACUGUAGCUUUUCCCAACUUCAACUGUUUCAAUAAAUGCCGGACAACAAAAUGUAAAAUGUGUUUCACUGAAUAGCAGUUUUUUUUUAAGUGUCAUGCAAAGCAUUUUCAGGAAAGUUAUUUGUUGUUUUGCAUGGUCAAGCCCAAAUUAUGUUUUCGUUUCUGUCUUUGGGAUGUCAUGUAAAUAUUAUAAAACUAAAAUCUGCUUGGAUUUUGCGUAAAGUUAAAGUAUAUGUUGUUUGAUAAAUAAAUAAUGUUGGUAUAAUGA
This is a long non-coding RNA of Oncorhynchus tshawytscha (Chinook salmon), 1247 nucleotides long. RefSeq lists it as uncharacterized. NCBI's taxonomy places the organism in Eukaryota, Metazoa, Chordata, Actinopteri, Salmoniformes, Salmonidae. The record is from RefSeq and is a predicted model, not a curated record. The transcript has 2 exons.